Molecule: ribosomal RNA, 254 nt
Filed under: uncultured bacterium
Lineage: Bacteria
Description: partial 16S ribosomal RNA
Rfam family: Bacterial small subunit ribosomal RNA
Source: RNAcentral
UACGGGGGGAGCAAGCGUUGUUCGGAUUUACUGGGCGUAAAGGGCGCGCAGGCGGCCACCGCAAGUCAGUUGUGAAAUCUCUGGGCUUAACCCAGAAAGGUCAACUGAUACUGCGGGGCUAGAGUGCAGAAGGGGCAACUGGAAUUCUCGGUGUAGCGGUGAAAUGCGUAGAUAUCGAGAGGAACACCUGCGGCGAAGGCGGGUUGCUGGGCUGACACUGACGCUGAAGCGCGAAAGCUAGGGGAGCGAACGGG